GCCCUUAUGGCGUAGUGGUAGCGCGUGUCACUUGUACGUUGUCUGAGAUGAUCACUUCAUCCCAGACUAUCCGAACUCAAUGACAAGGCCCUCGGUUCAAACCCGAGUGAGGGCA
This is a non-coding RNA of Gnomoniopsis smithogilvyi, 115 nucleotides long. The record is from the annotation of a GenBank genome assembly. Lineage: Eukaryota; Fungi; Ascomycota; Sordariomycetes; Diaporthales; Gnomoniaceae.